GCGACCCCCGGAUGGGCGAGGCCACC
RNAcentral lists this ribosomal RNA (26 nucleotides) under Bulbophyllum ciluliae. RNAcentral's name for it is "partial 28S ribosomal RNA". Lineage: Eukaryota; Viridiplantae; Streptophyta; Magnoliopsida; Asparagales; Orchidaceae. The record is from RNAcentral.